GACGAACGCUGGCGGCGUGCUUAACACAUGCAAGUCGAGCGGAAAGGCCCUUUCGGGGGUACUCGAGCGGCGAACGGGUGAGUAACACGUGAGUAAUCUGCCCCUGGCUUUGGGAUAGCCACCGGAAACGGUGAUUAAUACCGGAUACAACCACUUCUCGCAUGGGAUGGUGGUGGAAAGUUUUUCGGCCAGGGAUGUGCUCGCGGCCUAUCAGCUUGAUGGUGAGGUAAUGGCUCACCAUGGCUUCGACGGGUAGCCGGCCUGAGAGGGUGACCGGUCACACUGGGACUGAGACACGGCCCAGACUCCUACGGGAGGCAGCAGUGGGGAAUAUUGGACAAUGGGCGGAAGCCUGAUCCAGCAACGCCGCGUGAGGGAUGACGGCCUUCGGGUUGUAAACCUCUUUCAGCAGGGACGAAGCGCAAGUGACGGUACCUGCAGAAGAAGCACCGGCCAACUACGUGCCAGCAGCCGCGGUAA
RNAcentral lists this ribosomal RNA (480 nucleotides) under uncultured bacterium. RNAcentral describes it as "partial 16S ribosomal RNA". It matches the Rfam family "Bacterial small subunit ribosomal RNA", at positions 28 to 523 of the family's 1533-position model. The record is from RNAcentral.